GUGGUGUCAGGCACGACCGCGAUAUCAACGCGGCUAAGAACAUGCUUGCGGUCGGGCAUGGCCGUCCAGUAGUGGGAAUCCCCGUCCUUUAGGGCGGGGAGGAUGUCAACGCUUUCAUCUUA
This 122-nucleotide small RNA is filed under the name Azomonas agilis. Its description in RNAcentral is "HgcC family RNA". Lineage: Bacteria; Pseudomonadati; Pseudomonadota; Gammaproteobacteria; Pseudomonadales; Pseudomonadaceae. The record is from RNAcentral.